AUUGAACGCUGGCGGCAUGCCUUACACAUGCAAAUCGAACGGUAACGGGCCUUCGGGUGCCGACGAGUGGCGAACGGGUGAGUAAUACAUCGGAACGUGCCCGAUCGUGGGGGAUAACGAGGCGAAAGCUUUGCUAAUACCGCAUACGAUCUACGGAUGAAAGCAGGGGACCGCAAGGCCUUGCGCGGACGGAGCGGCCGAUGGCAGAUUAGGUAGUUGGUGGGAUAAAAGCUUACCAAGCCGACGAUCUGUAGCUGGUCUGAGAGGAUGAUCAGCCACACUGGGACUGAGACACGGCCCAGACUCCUACGGGAGGCAGCAGUGGGGAAUUUUAGACAAUGGGCGCAAGCCUGAUCCAGCCAUGCCGCGUGCAGGAUGAAGGCCUUCGGGUUGUAAACUGAUUUUGUACGGAACGAAAAGCCUUCUUUUAAUACAGGAGGGUCAUGACGGUACCGUAAGAAUAAGCACCGGCUAACUACGUG
Molecule: ribosomal RNA, 482 nt
Filed under: uncultured bacterium
Lineage: Bacteria
Description: partial 16S ribosomal RNA
Rfam family: Bacterial small subunit ribosomal RNA
Source: RNAcentral